RNAcentral lists this ribosomal RNA (361 nucleotides) under uncultured fungus. RNAcentral describes it as "SSU rRNA". It matches the Rfam family "Eukaryotic small subunit ribosomal RNA", at positions 1 to 376 of the family's 1831-position model. The record is from RNAcentral. Lineage: Eukaryota; Fungi.
GCCCUUGUAGUCAUAUGCUUGUCUCAAAGAUUAAGCCAUGCAUGUCUAAGUAUAAGCAAUUUAUACAGUGAAACUGCGAAUGGCUCAUUAAAUCAGUUAUCGUUUAUUUGAUAGUUCCUUUACUACAUGGUAUAACUGUGGUAAUUCUAGAGCUAAUACAUGCUUAAAAUCUCGACCCUUUGGAAGAGAUGUAUUUAUUAGAUAAAAAAUCAAUGUCUUCGGACUCUUUGAUGAUUCAUAAUAACUUUUCGAAUCGCAUGGCCUUGUGCUGGCGAUGGUUCAUUCAAAUUUCUGCCCUAUCAACUUUCGAUGGUAGGAUAGUGGCCUACCAUGGUUUCAACGGGUAACGGGGAAUAAGGGC